UAUUUCUCUAUUCUAAAACUUUCUAAAAGUAUAGCUGAAAUAAAAUAUAAAGUCAACUGUCUCUGUUAAAAUGUAUAUAAUCUACUUUGAAGAUUGAAACUGAUCCACAAUUUGGAACAGAUUCAGUUGACAAAUGAAUGGGAGUAAGAAAUGGUGGUAGUUGUGUUGAUGAGUCUAGUAACCAACCUAGAGAAGAGUUAAAAUUACUCAAGUUGUAAUUCAGGGUCAUGGACAAGGCUUCAAAUAUUGGUCUAAAUGCUAGAG
This 264-nucleotide unclassified non-coding RNA is filed under the name Hevea brasiliensis (rubber tree). Lineage: Eukaryota; Viridiplantae; Streptophyta; Magnoliopsida; Malpighiales; Euphorbiaceae. The record is from RNAcentral.